This 496-nucleotide ribosomal RNA is filed under the name uncultured bacterium. RNAcentral's name for it is "partial 16S ribosomal RNA". It matches the Rfam family "Bacterial small subunit ribosomal RNA", at positions 28 to 507 of the family's 1533-position model. The record is from RNAcentral.
GAUGAACGCUGGCGGCGUGCCUAAUACAUGCAAGUCGAGCGAACGGACGAGAAGCUUGCUUCUCUGAUGUUAGCGGCGGACGGGUGAGUAACACGUGGAUAACCUACCUAUAAGACUGGGAUAACUUCGGGAAACCGGAGCUAAUACCGGAUAAUAUUUUGAACCUCAUGGUUCAAAAGUGAAAGACGGUCUUGCUGGCACUUAUAGAUGGAUCCGCGCUGCAUUAGCUAGUUGGUAAGGUAACGGCUUACCAGGGCAACGAUGCAUAGCAGACCUGAGAGGGGGACCGGCCACCUGAGACUGAAACCCGGCCCAAGACCCUAAGGGGGGCCGGAGUUAGGAAUUUUCCCAGAUGGGGGGAAGCCUUCACGAGGGACGCCGGCUGGGUUAAAAAAGGCUUCGGAACGGAAAACUCUUUUAUUUGGGGAAAACAUAUGUUGAAGUAACUGGUCACAUUUUGGCGGUAACUAAAGAAGAAGCCACGGCUAACUACGUG